RNAcentral lists this ribosomal RNA (334 nucleotides) under Escherichia coli. Its description in RNAcentral is "bacterial SSU rRNA". It matches the Rfam family "Bacterial small subunit ribosomal RNA", at positions 1200 to 1533 of the family's 1533-position model. The record is from RNAcentral. Lineage: Bacteria; Pseudomonadati; Pseudomonadota; Gammaproteobacteria; Enterobacterales; Enterobacteriaceae.
CCUUACGACCAGGGCUACACACGUGCUACAAUGGCGCAUACAAAGAGAAGCGACCUCGCGAGAGCAAGCGGACCUCAUAAAGUGCGUCGUAGUCCGGAUUGGAGUCUGCAACUCGACUCCAUGAAGUCGGAAUCGCUAGUAAUCGUGGAUCAGAAUGCCACGGUGAAUACGUUCCCGGGCCUUGUACACACCGCCCGUCACACCAUGGGAGUGGGUUGCAAAAGAAGUAGGUAGCUUAACCUUCGGGAGGGCGCUUACCACUUUGUGAUUCAUGACUGGGGUGAAGUCGUAACAAGGUAACCGUAGGGGAACCUGCGGUUGGAUCACCUCCUUA